RNAcentral lists this ribosomal RNA (450 nucleotides) under uncultured bacterium. RNAcentral's name for it is "bacterial SSU rRNA". It matches the Rfam family "Bacterial small subunit ribosomal RNA", at positions 354 to 796 of the family's 1533-position model. The record is from RNAcentral.
GUGAGGAAUAUUGCGCAAUGGGCGAAAGCCUGACGCAGCGACGCCGCGUGGAGGACGAAGGUCUUCGGAUCGUAAACUCCUGUCGAGCGGGACGAAGCCGGGGCGGUGAAUAGCCGCUUCGGUUGACGGUACCGCUAAAGGAAGCCCCGGCUAACUCCGUGCCAGCAGCCGCGGUAAUACGGAGGGGGCCAGCGUUGUUCGGAAUCAUUGGGCGUAAAGGGCGCGUAGGCGGCUUGGUAAGUCCGUUGUGAAAUCCCUCGGCUCAACCGAGGAACUGCGACGGAUACUGCUUGGCUUGAGUCCCGGAGAGGGUAGCGGAAUUCCCAGUGUAGCGGUGAAAUGCGUAGAUAUUGGGAGGAACAUCGGUGGCGAAGGCGGCUACCUGGACGGGUACUGACGCUGAGGCGCGAAAGCUAGGGGAGCAAACAGGAUUAGAUACCCGGGUAGUCC